GACGAACGCUGGCGGCAUGCCUAAUACAUGCAAGUCGAGCGGACAGAAGGGAGCUUGCUCCUGGAAGUCAGCGGCGGACGGGUGAGUAACACGUGGGCAACCUGCCCUUUAGAUUGGGAUAACUUCGGGAAACCGAAGCUAAUACCGAAUAAUACAAGGAACCUCCUGGUUCUCUGUUGAAAGAUGGCCUUUGUGCUAUCACUAAAGGAUGGGCCCGCGGCGCAUUAGCUAGUUGGUAAGGUAACGGCUUACCAAGGCGACGAUGCGUAGCCGACCUGAGAGGGUGAUCGGCCACACUGGGACUGAGACACGGCCCAGACUCCUACGGGAGGCAGCAGUAGGGAAUCUUCCGCAAUGGACGAAAGUCUGACGGAGCAAUGCCGCGUGAGUGAGGAAGGCCUUCGGGUCGUAAAGCUCUGUUGUGAGGGAAGAACAAGUACCGGCGUAACUACUGGUACCGUGACGGUACCUCACCAGAAAGCCACGGCUAACUACGUGCCAGCAGCCGCCGUAA
Molecule: ribosomal RNA, 514 nt
Filed under: uncultured bacterium
Lineage: Bacteria
Description: partial 16S ribosomal RNA
Rfam family: Bacterial small subunit ribosomal RNA
Source: RNAcentral